UCGGAUCGCAGGCUGCAACCCGCCUGCGUGAAGUUGGAAUCGCUAGUAAUCGCGGAUCAGCAUGCCGCGGUGAAUACGUUCCCGGGCCUUGUACACACCGCCCGUCACACCAUGAGAGUCGGGAACACCCGAAGUCCGUAGCCUAACCGCAAGGGGGCGCGGCCGAAGGUGGGUUCGAUAAUUGGGUGAAGUCGUAACAAGGUAAC
RNAcentral lists this ribosomal RNA (206 nucleotides) under uncultured bacterium. RNAcentral's name for it is "partial 16S ribosomal RNA". It matches the Rfam family "Bacterial small subunit ribosomal RNA", at positions 1293 to 1500 of the family's 1533-position model. The record is from RNAcentral.